AUACUCACCUGACAGGAAAGCAACCACAAUCAUGUAGGUAGUUUCCCCAAGUGAGGCUUGUCAAUUACAGUCCUGAUGUUGUUUUCCCUAAUGAUUUCCCCUAAUGAAAAAAAAAUUGAUUGUAUAAUUUAUGGUAGCAGGGGACUGUGUUCACACUCUGCCCUA
This is a small nuclear RNA of Myodes glareolus (Bank vole), 165 nucleotides long. RefSeq annotates it as U1 spliceosomal RNA. Lineage: Eukaryota; Metazoa; Chordata; Mammalia; Rodentia; Cricetidae. The record is from RefSeq and is a predicted model, not a curated record.